RNAcentral lists this ribosomal RNA (377 nucleotides) under uncultured eukaryote. RNAcentral's name for it is "partial 18S ribosomal RNA". It matches the Rfam family "Eukaryotic small subunit ribosomal RNA", at positions 592 to 976 of the family's 1831-position model. The record is from RNAcentral.
CAAUAGCGUAUAUUUAAGUUGCUGCAGUUAAAAAGCUCGUAGUUGGAUUUCGGGUGGGAAUGGCCGGUCCGCCGUUUCGGUGUGCACUUGCUACGCCCACCUUGCUGCCGGGGACGUGCUCUUGAGUUUACGCUCGGGACACGGAGUCGGCGAGGUUACUUUGAGUAAAUUAGAGUGUUCAAAGCAGGCCUACGCUCUGAAUACAUUAGCAUGGAAUAACACGAUAGGACUCUGGCCUAUCUUGUUGGUCUGUAGGACCGGAGUAAUGAUUAAGAGGGACAGUCGGGGGCAUUCGUAUUUCAUUGUCAGAGGUGAAAUUCUUGGAUUUAUGAAAGACGAACUACUGCGAAAGCAUUUGCCAAGGAUGUUUUCAUUAA